GGCGGAGUAGCUCAGGUGGUUAGAGCAGCGGAAUCAUAAUCCGCGUGUCGGGGGUUCGAGUCCCUCUCCCGCUACCA
This 77-nucleotide transfer RNA is filed under the name Erythrobacter sp. RNAcentral describes it as "tRNA-Met". It matches the Rfam family "tRNA". Rfam says of the family: Transfer RNA (tRNA) molecules are approximately 80 nucleotides in length. Lineage: Bacteria; Pseudomonadati; Pseudomonadota; Alphaproteobacteria; Sphingomonadales; Erythrobacteraceae. The record is from RNAcentral.